This is a long non-coding RNA of Panicum hallii, 439 nucleotides long. RefSeq lists it as uncharacterized. Lineage: Eukaryota; Viridiplantae; Streptophyta; Magnoliopsida; Poales; Poaceae. The transcript has 2 exons. The record is from RefSeq and is a predicted model, not a curated record.
CUAUCUUUUACUGUAGAGAAGAAUAUGUGGUUAUUUUAUGUGUGAACCCUGACCAAGCUUGCGCAGGUAUAUUUACACAAGGAGCAGCAUGCAUUAUUUGCCCUUAUAUGGAUAUCCUGAUUGGCCUGCCAAUAUAUUUCCUAAUUGGAUAGGAAUUCGAUUAUAAAGAUAUAUGUGUACACAGGGAGCCGCAUGCACUAUUGGUCUUCAUAUGGAUAGCUUAUUGGCCGGCCAAUACGUUUCCUAAUUGGAUGGGAUCAAGGUUAUAGAAGUUAACACCCAAACAUAGCCGGCCAAUACAUUUUCAAAUUGAGUUGUAUUAAUUAGGAUGACUGAUUGGUCGAUCAAUCAUUUUCUAAAUGUAUUGGAGUACUGUAUGGAAGGUUAAAUAAUACUAAUAUAAUCUACUAAGAAUGGAAAAGUUCCUUUCCUUCUAAAA